RNAcentral lists this ribosomal RNA (1528 nucleotides) under Escherichia coli 2-427-07_S1_C1. Its description in RNAcentral is "bacterial SSU rRNA". It matches the Rfam family "Bacterial small subunit ribosomal RNA". RNAcentral also lists the same sequence under 1 other name. Lineage: Bacteria; Pseudomonadati; Pseudomonadota; Gammaproteobacteria; Enterobacterales; Enterobacteriaceae. The record is from RNAcentral.
GAGUUUGAUCAUGGCUCAGAUUGAACGCUGGCGGCAGGCCUAACACAUGCAAGUCGAACGGUAACAGGAAGAAGCUUGCUUCUUUGCUGACGAGUGGCGGACGGGUGAGUAAUGUCUGGGAAACUGCCUGAUGGAGGGGGAUAACUACUGGAAACGGUAGCUAAUACCGCAUAACGUCGCAAGACCAAAGAGGGGGACCUUCGGGCCUCUUGCCAUCGGAUGUGCCCAGAUGGGAUUAGCUUGUUGGUGGGGUAACGGCUCACCAAGGCGACGAUCCCUAGCUGGUCUGAGAGGAUGACCAGCCACACUGGAACUGAGACACGGUCCAGACUCCUACGGGAGGCAGCAGUGGGGAAUAUUGCACAAUGGGCGCAAGCCUGAUGCAGCCAUGCCGCGUGUAUGAAGAAGGCCUUCGGGUUGUAAAGUACUUUCAGCGGGGAGGAAGGGAGUAAAGUUAAUACCUUUGCUCAUUGACGUUACCCGCAGAAGAAGCACCGGCUAACUCCGUGCCAGCAGCCGCGGUAAUACGGAGGGUGCAAGCGUUAAUCGGAAUUACUGGGCGUAAAGCGCACGCAGGCGGUUUGUUAAGUCAGAUGUGAAAUCCCCGGGCUCAACCUGGGAACUGCAUCUGAUACUGGCAAGCUUGAGUCUCGUAGAGGGGGGUAGAAUUCCAGGUGUAGCGGUGAAAUGCGUAGAGAUCUGGAGGAAUACCGGUGGCGAAGGCGGCCCCCUGGACGAAGACUGACGCUCAGGUGCGAAAGCGUGGGGAGCAAACAGGAUUAGAUACCCUGGUAGUCCACGCCGUAAACGAUGUCGACUUGGAGGUUGUGCCCUUGAGGCGUGGCUUCCGGAGCUAACGCGUUAAGUCGACCGCCUGGGGAGUACGGCCGCAAGGUUAAAACUCAAAUGAAUUGACGGGGGCCCGCACAAGCGGUGGAGCAUGUGGUUUAAUUCGAUGCAACGCGAAGAACCUUACCUGGUCUUGACAUCCACGGAAGUUUUCAGAGAUGAGAAUGUGCCUUCGGGAACCGUGAGACAGGUGCUGCAUGGCUGUCGUCAGCUCGUGUUGUGAAAUGUUGGGUUAAGUCCCGCAACGAGCGCAACCCUUAUCCUUUGUUGCCAGCGGUCCGGCCGGGAACUCAAAGGAGACUGCCAGUGAUAAACUGGAGGAAGGUGGGGAUGACGUCAAGUCAUCAUGGCCCUUACGACCAGGGCUACACACGUGCUACAAUGGCGCAUACAAAGAGAAGCGACCUCGCGAGAGCAAGCGGACCUCAUAAAGUGCGUCGUAGUCCGGAUUGGAGUCUGCAACUCGACUCCAUGAAGUCGGAAUCGCUAGUAAUCGUGGAUCAGAAUGCCACGGUGAAUACGUUCCCGGGCCUUGUACACACCGCCCGUCACACCAUGGGAGUGGGUUGCAAAAGAAGUAGGUAGCUUAACCUUCGGGAGGGCGCUUACCACUUUGUGAUUCAUGACUGGGGUGAAGUCGUAACAAGGUAACCGUAGGGGAACCUGCGGUUGGAUCACC